AGUGAACGCUGGCGGUAGGCCUAACACAUGCAAGUCGAACGGCAGCACAGUAAGAGCUCGCUCUUACGGGUGGCGAGUGGCGGACGGGUGAGGAAUACAUCGGAAUCUACUUUUUCGUGGGGGAUAACGUAGGGAAACUUACGCUAAUACCGCAUACGACCUACGGGUGAAAGCAGGGGAUCUUCGGACCUUGCGCGAUUGAAUGAGCCGAUGUCGGAUUAGCUAGUUGACGGGGUAAAGGCCCACCAAGGCGACGAUCCGUAGCUGGUCUGAGAGGAUGAUCAGCCACACUGGAACUGAGACACGGUCCAGACUCCUACGGGAGGCAGCAGUGGGGAAUAUUGGACAAUGGGCGCAAGCCUGAUCCAGCCAUACCGCGUGGGUGAAGAAGGCCUUCGGGUUGUAAAGCCCUUUUGUUGGGAAAGAAAAGCAGCAGGUUAAUACCCCGCUGUUCUGACGGUACCCAAAGAAUAAGCACCGGCUAACUUCGUG
This 492-nucleotide ribosomal RNA is filed under the name uncultured bacterium. Its description in RNAcentral is "partial 16S ribosomal RNA". It matches the Rfam family "Bacterial small subunit ribosomal RNA", at positions 29 to 507 of the family's 1533-position model. The record is from RNAcentral.